This 511-nucleotide ribosomal RNA is filed under the name uncultured bacterium. Its description in RNAcentral is "partial 16S ribosomal RNA". It matches the Rfam family "Bacterial small subunit ribosomal RNA", at positions 28 to 506 of the family's 1533-position model. The record is from RNAcentral.
GAUGAACGCUGGCGGCGUGCCUAAUACAUGCAAGUCGAACGAAACUUCUUUAUCACCGAGUGCUUGCACUCACCGAUAAAGAGUUGAGUGGCGAACGGGUGAGUAACACGUGGGCAACCUGCCCAAAAGAGGGGGAUAACACUUGGAAACAGGUGCUAAUACCGCAUAACCAUAGUUACCGCAUGGUAACUAUGUAAAAGGUGGCUAUACUACCGCUUUUGGAUGGGCCCGCGGCGCAUUAGCUAGUUGGUAGGGUAAAGGCUUACCAAGGCAAUGAUGCGUAGCCGAAUUGAGAGGUUGAUCGGCCACAUUGGGACUGAGACACGGCCCAAACUCCUACGGGAGGCAGCAGUAGGGAAUCUUCCACAAUGGGCGAAAGCCUGAUGGAGCAACGCCGCGUGGGUGAAGAAGGUCUUCGGAUCGUAAAACCCUGUUGUUAGAGAAGAAAGUGCGUGAGAGUAACGGUUCACGUUUCGACGGGAUCUAACCAGAAAGCCACGGCGAACUACGU